GUGCUCACUUUGGCGGCACAUAUACUAAAAUUGAAACGAUACAGAGAAGAUUAGCAUGGCCCCUGUGCAAGGGUGACACACAAAUUCAUGAAGUGUUCCAUAUUUUU
Hippopotamus amphibius kiboko is the source of this 107-nucleotide small nuclear RNA. Lineage: Eukaryota; Metazoa; Chordata; Mammalia; Artiodactyla; Hippopotamidae. The record is from RefSeq and is a predicted model, not a curated record.